RNAcentral lists this ribosomal RNA (118 nucleotides) under Lepisosteus oculatus (spotted gar). The record is from RNAcentral. Lineage: Eukaryota; Metazoa; Chordata; Actinopteri; Semionotiformes; Lepisosteidae.
UACAGCAGCCAUAUCACCUUGUAACUCACAACUGACAACCCACUGAAGUUAAGCUUGUCUGAACGGGGUCUGUACCUGGAUGGGAGACCUCCUGGGAAAACUAAGGUUGCCGCUUGGA